RNAcentral lists this ribosomal RNA (826 nucleotides) under Stachybotrys phaeophialis. RNAcentral describes it as "eukaryotic LSU rRNA". It matches the Rfam family "Eukaryotic large subunit ribosomal RNA", at positions 74 to 935 of the family's 3401-position model. Lineage: Eukaryota; Fungi; Ascomycota; Sordariomycetes; Hypocreales; Stachybotryaceae. The record is from RNAcentral.
AUUGCCUUAGUAACGGCGAGUGAAGCGGCAACAGCUCAAAUUUGAAAUCUGGCCCCAGGCCCGAGUUGUAAUUUGCAGAGGAUGCUUUUGGCGCGGUGCCUUCCGAGUUUCCUGGAACGGGACGCCAUAGAGGGUGAGAGCCCCGUCUGGUUGGAUACCAAGCCUUUGUAAAGCUCCUUCGACGAGUCGAGUAGUUUGGGAAUGCUGCUCUAAAUGGGAGGUAUAUGUCUUCUAAAGCUAAAUACCGGCCAGAGACCGAUAGCGCACAAGUAGAGUGAUCGAAAGAUGAAAAGCACUUUGGAAAGAGAGUUAAACAGCACGUGAAAUUGUUAAAAGGGAAGCGUUUAUGACCAGACUUGGGCCGGUUAAUCAUCCAGCGUUCUCGCUGGUGCACUUUGCCGGUCCAGGCCAGCAUCAGUUCGCUGCGGGGGAUAAAGGCGUCGGGAAUGUGGCUCCUCCGGAGUGUUAUAGCCCUUCGCGCAAUACCCUGCGGUGGACUGAGGUUCGCGCAUCUGCAAGGAUGCUGGCGUAAUGGUCAUCAACGACCCGUCUUGAAACACGGACCAAGGAGUCGUCUUCGUAUGCGAGUGUUCGGGUGUAAAACCCCUACGCGUAAUGAAAGUGAACGCAGGUGAGAGCUUCGGCGCAUCAUCGACCGAUCCUGAUGUUCUCGGAUGGAUUUGAGUAAGAGCAUACGGGGCCGGACCCGAAAGAAGGUGAACUAUGCCUGUAUAGGGUGAAGCCAGAGGAAACUCUGGUGGAGGCUCGCAGCGGUUCUGACGUGCAAAUCGAUCGUCAAAUAUGGGCAUGGGGGCGAAAGACUAAU